GAUGAAGAACGUAGCGAAAUGCGAUACUUGGUGUGAAUUGCAGAAUCCCGUGAACCAUCGAGUCUUUGAACGCAAGUUGCGCCCGAAGCCAUUAGGCCGAGGGCACGCCUGCCUGGGCGUCACACGUCGUUGCCCCCCCAUCUACUCCUUCGGGAUUGCGGGGGGCGGAUGAUGGCCUCCCGUGCGCCUCGUCGCGCGGUUGGCAUAAAUGCCAAGUCCUCGGCGACGCACGCCACGACAAUCGGUGGUUGCGAAACCUCGGUUGCCCGUCGUGUGCGGUCGUCGCGCAUCGAGGGCUCGAAAGAAUUGCCGGGCUCCGGCUCGGCUUUCAACGCGACCCCAGGUCAGGCGGGGUUACCCGCUGAAUUUAAGCAUAUCAAUAAGCGGAGGA
Molecule: unclassified non-coding RNA, 391 nt
Filed under: soil metagenome
Description: partial contains 5.8S ribosomal RNA, internal transcribed spacer 2, and large subunit ribosomal RNA
Rfam family: 5.8S ribosomal RNA (bases 1-122)
Source: RNAcentral